This 70-nucleotide non-coding RNA is filed under the name Schistosoma mansoni. The record is from RNAcentral. Lineage: Eukaryota; Metazoa; Platyhelminthes; Trematoda; Strigeidida; Schistosomatidae.
UUAUCAACUCCGCCUGUAGCUCUCCUAGAGUUACUGCCGGUCCCAAGCCCGGAUAAGGGAGGAGGGUUGG